This 839-nucleotide unclassified non-coding RNA is filed under the name Hevea brasiliensis (rubber tree). The record is from RNAcentral. Lineage: Eukaryota; Viridiplantae; Streptophyta; Magnoliopsida; Malpighiales; Euphorbiaceae.
GAAAAGCCAAAAAGUGCAAUGACUCUUCUGGAUUUGUAUUACAAAUCAGUCGGUAGAAACUGUCCCUUAUUGCUAAAUGUACCGCCUAACUCAUCCGGUCUCAUAUCAGACGAAGAUAUACAUGUCCUCAAAGAGUUCUCCGAGCUUCGUAAUUCUAUAUUCUCCCAUAAUCUUGCAAAAUCUGCCCUUCUUUCUGCCAGCAGUAUACGAGGAGAUUCGAAUGAUACUCAGUUUAGCCCCAAGAAUGUAAUUGAGGAAGGAUUACAUACAUAUUGGGCUCCAGAUCAGGGACAACAAUCAGACUGGACACUAUAUUUACAAUUUCAACAGGUUAUAACUUUCAACGUCUUGGGACUUCAAGAACCAAUUCAAAUGGGGCAGCGUAUUAUCGAGUUUCAUCUUGACAUGUUAGAUGAAAAUGGAAAAUGGCAACAUGUGGUAAAUGGAACGACAGUAGGAUAUCGGAGGCUGUUACUUUUUCCUACAGUGAAAUCUCACCUACUAAGGUUGGUUAUCGACAAGUCCAAGGUGCUCCCUCUAAUCUCUCACUUGGGAAUUUACAUGGAUUCGUAUACUGUUCCACGACAUGUCUCUGAUGAUACACAUAUGAAAUCAAAGUUCAUCAACAACUUAUUUUUCAGAAGAACUGCAUAUAACCAGUCUCAAUCUGCUUCCAUCUAAUCUUCGUCGAGCAGCUUUGAGUGUACAAUGCAUCAUCUUCUUUUUUUGGUUUUUCUGAUGCUUUUUCAUGUUGAUUCUUCUUCAAUUUCAGUUGUUGUAACAUAAAGUUUAUAUAACACAAACUCACAUUAGUUUGGAGCAACUUUCAAUGUACUGGA